AAUGAACGUUGGCGGCAUGGAUUAGGCAUGCAAGUCGGGGGAAUCCCAGCAAUGGGGGAACCGGCGUAAGGGGCAGUAAGGCAUGGGUACCUACCUUGGGGCUCGGGAUAGCCAUCAGAGAUGGUGGGUAAUACCGGAUGACGUCGUGAGACCCAAGAUUUAUAGCCCUUAGAGGGGCCCAUGUGAUGUUAGCUAGUUGGUGGGGUAACGGCCCACCAAGGCGAAGAUGUAUAGCGGGUGUGAGAGCACGACCCGCGCCACUCGAACUGAGACACUGGCGAGACACCUACGGGUGGCUGCAGUCGAGGAUCUUCGGCAAUGAGCGCAAGCUUGACCGAGCGAUGCCGCGUGAGCGAUGAAGGCCUUCGGGUUGUAAAGCUCUUUAGUGGGGGAGAAAAGCCGCAAGGUGUGAUCUAUCCCAAAAAUAAGCACGGGCUAAGUUCGUGCCAGCAGCCGCCGUAA
This 462-nucleotide ribosomal RNA is filed under the name uncultured bacterium. RNAcentral's name for it is "partial 16S ribosomal RNA". It matches the Rfam family "Bacterial small subunit ribosomal RNA", at positions 29 to 523 of the family's 1533-position model. The record is from RNAcentral.